AUUGAUAAAGUCUAUUUACUAACCAACUAAUUAAAAAAUCUUAUGGUGGUCCGAUCAGUCUACACGUAUGUGUGUGGUUAGGAUUCGAGCGAGACUCGGCGUUUAUUGUGGUGCAUGUAUCUUUCGUUUACUUCCAAUUUACAAUUCUGCGGAAUCAACAUGAUUUAGAGUAAAUAAUUGCUUGUAAAAAGUAAAUAGAGAUUCGCAUUUUACCAAAAGAAAAGGAAAAAACAUUGGAGAUGGGGAGGGUCCAUACUCCCCUAAGCCACGGGUCGAGUGGAGUACAGUUGGUUGGCGCACUUACUCUUGACGAUGUUUGUGGACAUAGUCCCUCCAAAAUGUUCCCUU
Arabidopsis thaliana (thale cress) is the source of this 348-nucleotide long non-coding RNA. RefSeq annotates it as other RNA. Lineage: Eukaryota; Viridiplantae; Streptophyta; Magnoliopsida; Brassicales; Brassicaceae. The transcript has a single exon. The record is from RefSeq.